GGGUUGUGAGGUUAAGCGACUAAGCGUACACGGUGGAUGCCCUGGCAGUCAGAGGCGAUGAAGGGCGUGCUAAUCUGCGAUAAGCGCCGGUAAGGUGAUAUGAACCGUUAUAACCGGCGAUACCCGAAUGGGGAAACCCAGUGUGAUUCGUCACACUAUCAUUAACUGAAUCCAUAGGUUAAUGAGGCGAACCGGGGGAACUGAAACAUCUAAGUACCCCGAGGAAAAGAAAUCAACCGAGAUUCCCCCAGUAGCGGCGAGCGAACGGGGAGGAGCCCAGAGCCUGAAUCAGCAUGUGUGUUAGUGGAAGCGUCUGGAAAGGCGCGCGAUACAGGGUGACAGCCCCGUACACAAAAGCGCAUAUGCUGUGAGCUCGAUGAGUAGGGCGGGACACGUGGUAUCCUGUCUGAAUAUGGGGGGACCAUCCUCCAAGGCUAAAUACUCCUGACUGACCGAUAGUGAACCAGUACCGUGAGGGAAAGGCGAAAAGAACCCCGGCGAGGGGAGUGAAAAAGAACCUGAAACCGUGUACGUACAAGCAGUGGGAGCCCCACCACUAAGCCAGUGGUGAACUCCACAUACGCAUCCUUUGCUGAGGAGACGGUUAACGGAGCGAAAGCGACGUUCAACCUCAAAAGAAGCAGAGGGGGCUUAGUGGUGGGGUGACUGCGUACCUUUUGUAUAAUGGGUCAGCGACUUAUAUUCUGUAGCAAGGUUAACUGUAUAGGGGAGCCGGAGGGAAACCGAGUCUUAACCGGGCGUUAAGUUGCAGGGUAUAGACCCGAAACCCGGUGAUCUAGCCAUGGGCAGGUUGAAGGUUGGGUAACACUAACUGGAGGACCGAACCGACUAAUGUUGAAAAAUUAGCGGAUGACCUGUGGCUGGGGGUGAAAGGCCAAUCAAACCGGGAGAUAGCUGGUUCUCCCCGAAAGCUAUUUAGGUAGCGCCUCGUGAAUUCAUCUCCGGGGGUAGAGCACUGUUUCGGCUAGGGGGCCAUCCCGGCUUACCAACCCGAUGCAAACUGCGAAUACCGGAGAAUGUUAUCACGGGAGACACACGGCGGGUGCUAAUGUCCGUCGUGAAGAGGGAAACAACCCAGACCGCCAGCUAAGGUCCCAAAGUCAUGGUUAAGUGGGAAACGAUGUGGGAAGGCCCAGACAGCCAGGAUGUUGGCUUAGAAGCAGCCAUCAUUUAAAGAAAGCGUAAUAGCUCACUGGUCGAGUCGGCCUGCGCGGAA
Molecule: ribosomal RNA, 1237 nt
Filed under: Salmonella enterica subsp. enterica serovar Typhi
Lineage: Bacteria; Pseudomonadati; Pseudomonadota; Gammaproteobacteria; Enterobacterales; Enterobacteriaceae
Also listed under: 1 other name
Description: partial 23S ribosomal RNA
Rfam family: Bacterial large subunit ribosomal RNA
Source: RNAcentral